RNAcentral lists this ribosomal RNA (109 nucleotides) under Salmonella enterica subsp. enterica serovar Cerro. RNAcentral's name for it is "partial 23S ribosomal RNA". It matches the Rfam family "Bacterial large subunit ribosomal RNA", at positions 2523 to 2631 of the family's 2925-position model. The record is from RNAcentral. Lineage: Bacteria; Pseudomonadati; Pseudomonadota; Gammaproteobacteria; Enterobacterales; Enterobacteriaceae.
ACCUCGAUGUCGGCUCAUCACAUCCUGGGGCUGAAGUAGGUCCCAAGGGUAUGGCUGUUCGCCAUUUAAAGUGGUACGCGAGCUGGGUUUAGAACGUCGUGAGACAGUU